UACGGGGGGGGCAAGCGUUGUUCGGAAUUACUGGGCGUAAAGGGCUCGUAGGCGGCCAACUAAGUCAGACGUGAAAUCCCUCGGCUUAACCGGGGAACUGCGUCUGAUACUGGAUGGCUCGAGUUUGGGAGAGGGAUGCGGAAUUCCAGGUGUAGCGGUGAAAUGCGUAGAUAUCAGGAGGAACACCGGUGGCGAAGGCGGGUCUCUGGGCCGUAACUGACGCUGAGGAGCGAAAGCGUGGGGAGCGAACAGG
This 253-nucleotide ribosomal RNA is filed under the name uncultured bacterium. RNAcentral's name for it is "partial 16S ribosomal RNA". It matches the Rfam family "Bacterial small subunit ribosomal RNA", at positions 524 to 776 of the family's 1533-position model. The record is from RNAcentral.